GUUGCAGUCAUAGGCUAUGCUGUGCCCGGCCACUCCUUCUUCACAUGUACAGCACUUCUUCACGUGACUUAUCAGGUUGUAGUUUCGUUCCUGCUCGACACUCAACUUAUCGUGACUACAUUGAAGAUGGCGGCGGCCCGUCAUUUUCUUGCAGGGCCCUUGGAAGUCUACCAAUGAAGUGUGGAGCUACUUUGUGCCUCGUAAAUGGUGUAAAACAGUGAUUUAUUUACAUGGCUAGCCCGAUGCCCCAUUUACUCUCAUCGACAACCUGUUGUUAGCAUCGGCUAACUGACCCCAGAUUUCGGACUUGAGUGGACAAGCCGAGAUGAGAUAUGCAAGGCACAGACAGGAGCAGUGGAGGAGCUGGAAAAACUAAAAUGGAGGACUUUAGGCAGAAGGUGAAGUAAAAGAAGAAGAAAUGGACGCACGAAUGGUGAGGUGAGUUUUGGUCCAUGGAAUGAUGUCAAAUCAAAACCAGGGCGCAAAAAAACCAAGCCACGUUCACGACGCUGAAAAAUGGCACAAGCAGAACUGAGGAGGGGAUGCGCGCUACGCUGAAAUGCGCAGAGGUCGUCAGCUGUUGCGCAGAUGGGUUUUUAUCGUGGAAGUGGACAGAGAAGGAGAGAUUAACGCAAGAUCGUCUAGACAAGCACAAGAUACAUAACAGUGGCCGAUCAGUCGGCCUCAAAGACAAGGAACGCACACAUUUGUUUGCAUCAGAAAAGACUGAAAAGUCUAAGAUUACUGUAGUCACACAAGGAGCUUGUUUCACGUUAAAAAAAAAAAAUCAGCUGAUAACUUCACAUUCAAACAAAAAACUUUUUGAUGAAUCAUUAAAUAAUCUAUUUUUUAAAACCAAAAAAAUGCCUAAUUUUUUCUUCCAGUGGUUAGGUUAGUGGGUUCAGGUCUGUAGUAAUUAUAGAUAAAUAAUAUAAAAACAAUGAAUGUGAAUUGUGAGUAAAUGUGUGCUAUAUAUGACAAACCUCUCAUAUAAAUAUAUGUAUGAUUUUAUAUAAGGAUAAUUAGAAUGGCCACAGAGUAACCCAAGCCCUUAAAGAAAACAUCUGUUCAUUAUUUAACAUAUUUUUGGAUGAUUUCUUUCCAACUUCAGUCUUGGCUUCUUCACAAUGGUAAGCUUCAGUUUAACUUUUCUUUAAAUGUUCGAUAACAUUAGUUUCACAAAUAUCAAUUAAUUUUGUACUUGAAGCAUGAGUUUUGCUUGACUGAGGGAAAUACAUUUGUUAAAUAUGACAGCUUAGUUCUGUUUCAUCAACAUUUGUUUUUAAAGGAUAGAUGCAUUUUUUUAAAUUCAUAAUUUCUCAUCUUUAAACAAUGGCCUACUGCACAGUAUAUACCCUGUAUUUCCAAAUCAGUAUGCAAUAAGCAAUGAUAAAUAUUUAGUACAGCAGAUUGUGAUAAUGUCUACAUUCUAAAUAAAAAAUACUAGUGUAAAGCUUCCUAAAGUAUGAGCACUGCAUUGUGGGACAUUGUAUUCCAUACAGUGUUCUCUGUUGCACACAGCAGUAUUCUGUGCAUAAAGAAAAUAAACUACAAAACUAGUCUGAGUAGUAUGAUAGAAUGCCAUUACCAGUCUGAGAGCAUAAAACAUAUUUUGCAAUAUGUACAAGCAGCAAAUAACUGACCCCACCGUGUCAGAUCAUCACUUCCCCUAUGAGGUCACUUCC
Labeo rohita (rohu) is the source of this 1685-nucleotide long non-coding RNA. RefSeq lists it as uncharacterized. The record is from RefSeq and is a predicted model, not a curated record. Lineage: Eukaryota; Metazoa; Chordata; Actinopteri; Cypriniformes; Cyprinidae. The transcript is spliced from 3 exons.